RNAcentral lists this ribosomal RNA (147 nucleotides) under Triticum aestivum (bread wheat). Its description in RNAcentral is "partial small subunit ribosomal RNA". Lineage: Eukaryota; Viridiplantae; Streptophyta; Magnoliopsida; Poales; Poaceae. The record is from RNAcentral.
AUGUCGAGAGUGUCGUCAAGCGGUCGAGGGUCGGGAAACCAGGGCUUACCCGAAGAAGGAGAAGAAGAGAAGAGGAAGAAGAGGAGAAAAAAAGAAAAGGAAAAAAAGAGGAAGAAGAAAGAAAAAGAGGAGAAGAAGAAGGAAUAG